GAAUCAGUACGCUGGUCGUGCCUUCGGUAUGUACUGGUGUCACUGAUUCCUCCCUUCUGAAGAACCAUCAUGCCAUUCACUUGGUGUGGUGGGGAAUCAGGACUGUUACUUUGAAAAAAUUAGAGUGUUUAAAGCAGGCUCACGCUUGAAUACAUUAGCAUGGAAUAACGGAAUAGGACG
This 180-nucleotide ribosomal RNA is filed under the name uncultured Glomeromycotina. RNAcentral's name for it is "partial small subunit ribosomal RNA". The record is from RNAcentral. Lineage: Eukaryota; Fungi; Glomeromycota.